UGGAGGCAGGCAGUUUAUCGGCCCCAUGGGAACCAUUGUCAGCCUUGCGUGUACAGGUUGUGUUCCUCCAUCGUAGCCCUCCAUGCACUACGGGUAACAGCAGCACAUCGACGUUUGGGGGGCGAGCGUAUGAGCCAACACACACAAAUUACGCGCUAACGAGCGGCUGAGACAACCACUAACGAUACAGGUGCGUGAGCUCGGCUCCAAAUCACCGAGAUGUGUGUGCCGGCUUCUCUCCCAGAUUGGUGCACGAUAUUCACCGGGGCGGAGUGCGGACAGGGGUUCAUAAACCAUCUGCCUCUGCUCGCAAGAAGGCUCCCGCUGGCUUCUGGAUCAAGGCGAUACGGGAGGCGGUGGGAUGGGGCUGGUAUGUUGGAUGUCUAAGGGGGUGACCCCUGGCUGGACUGGACAAUUCCCAGCACAGAUGGGGGGGGGGGGUUGAUUGGCCAGGCGGUUGUUCAGAUGGAAGGACUCAGUAGAGAUCCUGUGAACUAUCCACCCUUCAAGAAGGGCAAGAAAGUUGGCACCGUUCAGGUGGACCCGUCAGCUGUAUAGUGUGUCUGUCAUCUGGGGCUGACCCCCCAAGCGACUGCUGCCGAUUCCCUGUACGUCUAGAGUGCGGCUUCUCAUGGAAAUGGUAAUGAAUCGGAGCUUCACCUUGCAAGCCAGAGCCGAAGCCAGCCAGUUUAGGCGUCUCCCUAUCAGACCCCUGCGAGAUCCGGCGAGCGCCUCUCCGUUUCAGCAGACACCCUCACGACCUACCAGCAGUUAAGGCCGAUAAGUUCGUCUCUACGGGUCCCGUCUGUCUGACUGAUGGGGAUAAUAAUCACAGCCAGCGAAGGGCCACUCAGCCAAGACAUGAAUGCUCUGGUCACUUACCUUAGUCAGUGGAGACUUGGACUAAGUAAGUCUAAGGGGUGGCCACCGCCUUCCCUCUAUGGCCAACCUGGCGGGGACGCAGACAGGGCUGGGGCAGCAGGAGGCUGCGGGGCUGGGUUGAGGGGUCUCUGAGGCUAUACAGCUCCUGCCCUCAGUCGUUCAGUCCCUUGGCACUAGAGUCCCGUCUCGCCGGUUAACGGUCCAAAGGGAGCUGGGCUGGAGCCCCUGGGUCCGAGGGGGCCCCGCUGCCGCAGCACAGCGUGAAGUGGAAUCAGAGGCCGAGUGUUGGGAUUUUCAAGGGGACGCAGGGCCCAGACUGGCUGCUCCCGAGGCACUAAGUGCGGCUGGGUGGAGGUUUUCUCUCACCCCAGCGGCUCAGGCCCCGUGUGCACUGGGCAGCAUCAACAAAUCCACGUGCAGCGCCUCAGGCUUCGUCCUCAUGCCCAGGUCCCACGGGGACAGCAGCAGG
Molecule: long non-coding RNA, 1351 nt
Filed under: Chrysemys picta bellii (western painted turtle)
Lineage: Eukaryota; Metazoa; Chordata; Testudines; Emydidae
Description: lncRNA (ENSCPBG00000011807.1)
Source: RNAcentral